This is a non-coding RNA of Musa acuminata subsp. malaccensis (wild Malaysian banana), 655 nucleotides long. The record is from RefSeq and is a predicted model, not a curated record. NCBI's taxonomy places the organism in Eukaryota, Viridiplantae, Streptophyta, Magnoliopsida, Zingiberales, Musaceae.
AUGUGGGGAUGAAAACUGAACCUACACAAAGGAGGCUGAGCAGCAACAGCAGCAUCUCAGAAAAAGCCAUUCCAACCUGCAAGUUUGUAUGAUUCGUUAGGCCUUCUCUGCAAAGCCAUCCAAAGAAAACACAGAAGGCUCUCGAAACAGCUGCUCUGACCGCCUGUGCAGGAGGGGCGAUGUCUCCGGCGAGGAGUGGUUAGGGGUCGUGAAGGGCGGCGAUGGCGAUGGCGAAGGCGAAAACGGAUACUUGCGGUUACCUGGUCCUACACUGAUCGGAAGGGGAGAAGGUGGUGUUGGAGGAGAAGAUGAGGGUGAGGCCAAAUAAGGCCUCAUUGGCACUAAACCUUUUCGAGUGGAGAACUCAGAGAAAGAAAACAAAACAAUCUAAUAAUCUGGUGUGCAGUUGUUGUUGUUGCUAUCUUUUGUCUGCCUAAAUCUCAGAAGCUUGGUUAACUGCCAGUCCAACUGAUGAGCAAAGUUUGAUGUGCCUCCAGCUAACCUUCAAAUUCUUCAGUUCCAUAUAUGGCCAUCUAAAUCUGUAAAUAUAUAAUAAUUAUUGCAUUCAGCUAAGGGUAUAAUUGGGAAACAAGUGCACACCAUAAGUUCAAAGAAAUCAAUUCAGCAUGAAGUGGAUGGAUCUGUGGCCUCUUAA